This 429-nucleotide ribosomal RNA is filed under the name Acidobacteriota bacterium. RNAcentral describes it as "Acidobacteria bacterium partial 16S ribosomal RNA". It matches the Rfam family "Bacterial small subunit ribosomal RNA", at positions 355 to 776 of the family's 1533-position model. Lineage: Bacteria; Pseudomonadati; Acidobacteriota. The record is from RNAcentral.
UGGGGAAUUUUGGACAAUGGGGGAAACCCUGAUCCAGCCAUCCCGCGUGUGCGAUGAAGGCCUUCGGGUUGUAAAGCACUUUUGGCAGGAAAGAAACGUCAUGGGUUAAUACCCCGUGAAACUGACGGUACCUGCAGAAUAAGCACCGGCUAACUACGUGCUAGCAGCCGCGGUAAUACGUAGGGUGCAAGCGUUAAUCGGAAUUACUGGGCGUAAAGCGUGCGCAGGCGGUUCGGAAAGAAAGAUGUGAAAUCCCAGAGCUCAACUUUGGAACUGCAUUUUUAACUACCGGGCUAGAGUGUGUCAGAGGGAGGUGGAAUUCCGCGUGUAGCAGUGAAAUGCGUAGAUAUGCGGAGGAACGCCGAUGGCGAAGGCAGCCUCCUGGGAUAACACUGACGCUCAUGCACGAAGGCGUGGGGGGCAAACAGG